CAGGACGAACGUUGGCGGCGUGGAUUAGGCAUGCAAGUCGCACGAGAAAGGUUUCUUCGGAAGCCGAGUAAAGUGGCGGACGGGUGAGUAAUGCAUGGAUAAUUUGCCCUUGAGAUGGGGACAACGCCUCGAAAGGGGUGCUAAUACCAAUACUGCCGCGGGUCGCCGGAUCUGCGGUGAAAGGAGGCCUCUGAUUCAAGCUUCCGCUCAAGGAGAGGUUCAUGUCCUAUUAGCUUGUUGGCGGGGUAACGGCCCACCAAGGCUGCGAUGGGUAGCCGACCUGAGAGGGUGACCGGCCACAUUGGGACUGAGACACUGCCCAGACUCCUACGGGAGGCUGCAGUCGAGAAUCUUCCGCAAUGCGCGAAAGCGUGACGGAGCGACGCCGCGUGGGCGAUGAAGGCCUUCGGGUUGUAAAGCCCUGUCAGCUGUUAUGAAAGGCGGGCGAUGAACAAUUGUCCCGCUUGACGUAAGCAGCAGAGGAAGCACCGGCUAACUACGUGCCAGCAGCCGCGGUAAUACGUAGGGUGCGAACGUUGUUCGGAAUCACUGGGCAUAAAGGGCGUGUAGGCGGUCGUACAAGUCGGAUGUGAAAGCCCCCGGCCUAACCGGGGAACUGCAUUCGAUACUGUACGGCUAGAGUGCAGGAGGGGAGAGUGGAAUUCCUGGUGGGGCGGUGAAAUGCGUAGAUAUCAGGAGGAACGCCGGUGGCGAAAGCGACUCUCUGGCCUGCUACUGACGCUGAGGCGCGAAAGCUAGGGGAGCAAACGGGAUUAGAUACCCCGGUAGUCCUAGCCCUAAACGAUGGGUACUAAGUAGAGGGGAUUCCGAUAUUCUCUCUGCCGGAGCAAAUGUAUUAAGUACCCCGCCUGGGGAGUAUGGUCGCAAGGCUAAAACUCAAAGGUAUUGACGGGGGCUCACACAAGCGGUGGAGCAUGUUGUUCAAUUCGAAGCAACGCGAAGAACCUUACCUGGGUUUGACAUGGUUGGGACCGCCUGCGAAAGCAGGCUUCCUCUUUGAGGCCCUUCCACAGGUGUUGCAUGGCUGUCGUCAGCUCGUGUCGUGAGAUCUCGGGUUAAGUCCCAUAACGAGCGAAACCCUUGUCCUUAGUUGCUAUCGGGUAAAGCCGAGCACUUUAAGGAGACUGCCGGUGUUAAACCGGAGGAAGGUGGGGAUGACGUCAAGUCAUCAUGGCCUUUAUGCCCAGGGCCACAAACGUGCCACAAUGGUCGGUACAGAGAGAUGCAAAGUCGAAAGGCGGAGCAAACCUCAGAAAGCCGAUCCCAGUCCGGAUUGGGGGCUGCAACUCGCCCCCAUGAAGUUGGAAUCGCUAGUAAUCGCGGAUCAGCUACGCCGCGGUGAAU
This 1365-nucleotide ribosomal RNA is filed under the name metagenome. RNAcentral describes it as "bacterial SSU rRNA". It matches the Rfam family "Bacterial small subunit ribosomal RNA", at positions 25 to 1367 of the family's 1533-position model. The record is from RNAcentral.